GCGGAGGAAAAGAAACCAACAGGGAUUGCCCUAGUAACGGCGAGUGAAGCGGCAACAGCUCAAAUUUGAAAUCUGGCUUCGGCCCGAGUUGUAAUUUGUAGAGGAUGCUUUUGGCGCGGUGCCUUCUGAGUUCCCUGGAACGGGACGCCAGAGAGGGUGAGAGCCCCGUAUAGUCGGACACCAAGCCUAUGUAAAGCUCCUUCGACGAGUCGAGUAGUUUGGGAAUGCUGCUCAAAAUGGGAGGUAAAUUUCUUCUAAAGCUAAAUACCGGCCAGAGACCGAUAGCGCACAAGUAGAGUGAUCGAAAGAUGAAAAGCACUUUGAAAAGAGGGUUAAACAGCACGUGAAAUUGUUGAAAGGGAAGCGCUCAUGACCAGACUUGCGCCCAGUAAAUCAUCCAGCGUUCUCGCUGGUGCACUUUGCUGGGCUCAGGCCAGCAUCGGUUUUGGCAGGGGGAUAAAAGCUUCGGGAAUGUGACUCUUUCGGGAGUGUUAUAGCCCGUUGUAUAAUACCCUUGCUGGGACCGAGGUACGCGCUCCGCAA
Molecule: ribosomal RNA, 543 nt
Filed under: Vermiculariopsis pediculata
Lineage: Eukaryota; Fungi; Ascomycota; Sordariomycetes; Vermiculariopsiellales; Vermiculariopsiellaceae
Description: eukaryotic LSU rRNA
Rfam family: Eukaryotic large subunit ribosomal RNA
Source: RNAcentral